GGCAUGUGCACGCUCUCCUUGGAACCUUUGCCUUAUGGGCGCGGGGCGACCCGCGUCUUCAUAUACCUCUUCGUGUAGAAAGUCUUUGAAUGUUUAUAUUAUCAUCGAGCCGCGACUUCUAGGAGACGCGGUUCUUUGAGACAAAAGUUAUUACAACUUUCAGCAAUGGAUCUCUUGGCUCUCGCAUCGAUGAAGAACGCAGCGAAUCGCGAUAUGUAAUGUGAAUUGCAGAUCUACAGUGAAUCAUCGAAUCUUUGAACGCACCUUGCGCUCCUCGGUGUUCCGAGGAGCAUGCCUGUUUGAGCGUCAGUAAAUUCUCAACCCCUCUCGAUUUGCUUCGAAAGGGUGCUUGGAUGGUGGGGGCUGCCGGAGAUCUGGACUUCUCGUCUAGGACUCGGGCUCUCCUGAAAUGAAUGGGCUUGCGGUCGACUUUCGACCAUGCAUGACAAGGCUUUUGGCGUGAUAAUGAUCGCCGCUCGCCGAAGUGCAUGAAUGAACGGUCCCGUGCCUCUAAUGCGUCGAUGCCUUCUGGCGUCUUCCUUAUUGAC
RNAcentral lists this ribosomal RNA (548 nucleotides) under fungal sp. YT-2014-TypeD. RNAcentral's name for it is "eukaryotic LSU rRNA". The stretch from base 155 to 309 matches the Rfam family "5.8S ribosomal RNA". The record is from RNAcentral. Lineage: Eukaryota; Fungi.